CACCUGCACUAUUUUGACGUUUACCUACAGAAGAAGCACCGGCUAACUCCGUGCCAGCAGCCGCGGUAAUACGGAGGGUGCGAGCGUUUAAUCGGAAUUACUGGGCGUUAAAGCGCAUGCAGGCGGCCUGUUAAGUCAGAUGUGAAAGCCCGGGGCUUAACCUCGGAAUUGCAUUUUGAAAACUGGCAGGCUAGAGUCUUGUAGAGGGGGUAGAAUUUCAGGUGUAGCGGUGAAAAUGCGUAGAGAUCUGAAGGAAUACCAGUGGCGAAGGCGGCCCCCUGGACAAAGACUGACGCUCAGAUGCGAAAGCGUGGGGAGCAAACAGGAUUAGAUACCCUGGUAG
RNAcentral lists this ribosomal RNA (343 nucleotides) under uncultured bacterium. RNAcentral describes it as "bacterial SSU rRNA". It matches the Rfam family "Bacterial small subunit ribosomal RNA", at positions 456 to 793 of the family's 1533-position model. The record is from RNAcentral.